UAAUACGUAUGGGGCAAGCGUUGUUCGGAGUUAUUGGGCGUAAAGGGCGUGUAGGCGGCUCAUCAAGUCUGGUGUGAAAACGCAAGGCUUAACCUUGCGUAGGCACUGGAAACUGGUGGGCUGGAGUUCUUGAGGGGAAGCUGGAAUUCCAGGUGUAGGGGUGAAAUCUGUAGAUAUCUGGAAGAACACCGGUGGCGAAGGCGAGCUUCUAUCAGAGGACUGACGCUGAGGCGCGAAAGCGUGGGGAGCAAACAGG
RNAcentral lists this ribosomal RNA (256 nucleotides) under uncultured archaeon. RNAcentral describes it as "partial 16S ribosomal RNA". It matches the Rfam family "Bacterial small subunit ribosomal RNA", at positions 521 to 776 of the family's 1533-position model. The record is from RNAcentral.